Molecule: ribosomal RNA, 394 nt
Filed under: uncultured bacterium
Lineage: Bacteria
Description: partial 16S ribosomal RNA
Rfam family: Bacterial small subunit ribosomal RNA
Source: RNAcentral
AUACGGAGGAUGCGAGCGUUAUCCGGAUUCAUUGGGUAUAAAGCGUGCGUAGGCGGCCCCCCAAGUCAGCGGUGAAAUGUCCGGGCCCAACCCGGAGGGUGCCGUUGACACUGCGGGGCUGGAGUACGGACGCCGGCGGAGGAAUGAGGGGUGCAGGGGGGAAAUGCCUAGAAAUAACUGAGAACACCGAUUGCGAAGGCAUCCGCCGAGGCCGUUACUGACGCUGAGACACGAAAGCGUGGGGAUAGAACAGGAUUAGAUACCCUGGUAUUCCACGCCGUAAACGAUGAUGACUAGCCGCCGGGGGGUAGACUUCCGGCAGCCAAGCGAAAGCGAUAAGUCAUCCACCUGGGGAGUACGGCCGCAAGGCUGAAACUCAAAUGAAUUGGCGGGG